AUUGAACGCUGGCGGCAUGCUUUACACAUGCAAGUCGAACGGCAGCGCGGGCUUCGGCCUGGCGGCGAGUGGCGAACGGGUGAGUAAUACAUCGGAACGUGCCCAGUAGUGGGGGAUAGCUCAGCGAAAGCCGGAUUAAUACCGCAUACGACCUGAGGGUGAAAGCGGGGGAUCUUCGGACCUCGCGCUAUUGGAGCGGCCGAUGCAGAUUAGCUAGUUGGUGGGGUAAAGGCCUACCAAGGCGACGAUCUGUAGCUGGUCUGAGAGGACGACCAGCCACACUGGGACUGAGACACGGCCCAGACUCCUACGGGAGGCAGCAGUGGGGAAUUUUGGACAAUGGGCGAAAGCCUGAUCCAGCAAUGCCGCGUGUGUGAUGAAGGCCUUCGGGUUGUAAAGCACUUUUGGCGGGAACGAAAAGGACUGUGCCAAUACCACGGUUCGAUGACGGUACCCGCAGAAUAAGCACCGGCUAACUACGUG
RNAcentral lists this ribosomal RNA (483 nucleotides) under uncultured bacterium. RNAcentral describes it as "partial 16S ribosomal RNA". It matches the Rfam family "Bacterial small subunit ribosomal RNA", at positions 29 to 507 of the family's 1533-position model. The record is from RNAcentral.